This 486-nucleotide ribosomal RNA is filed under the name uncultured Acidobacteriota bacterium. Its description in RNAcentral is "bacterial SSU rRNA". It matches the Rfam family "Bacterial small subunit ribosomal RNA", at positions 224 to 704 of the family's 1533-position model. Lineage: Bacteria; Pseudomonadati; Acidobacteriota. The record is from RNAcentral.
GAGGAGCCUGCGGCGGAUUAGCUUGUUGGUAAGGUAACGGCUUACCAAGGCGAUGAUCCGUAGCCGGCCUGAGAGGGCGGUCGGCCACACUGACACUGACAUACGGGUCAGACUCCUACGGGAGGCAGCAGUCGGGAAUUUUGGGCAAUGGGCGAAAGCCUGACCCAGCAACGCCGCGUGAAGGAUGAAAUCCCUCGGGAUGUAAACUUCGCAAGAACGGGAAGAAUAAGUCGGUGCCAACACCAUCGGCGAUGACGGUACUGUUUGUAAGCUCCGGCUAACUCCGUGCCAGCAGCCGCGGUAAUACGGGGGGAGCAAGCGUUGUUCGGAUUUACUGGGCGUAAAGGGCGCGUAGGCGGCCACCGCAAGUCGACUGUGAAAUCUCCGGGCUUAACUCGGAAAGGUCAGCCGAUACUGCGGGGCUAGAGUGCAGAAGGGGCAACUGGAGUUCUCGGUGUAGCGGUGAAAUGCGUAGAUAUCGAGAGG